GACGAACGCUGGCGGCGUGCUUAACACAUGCAAGUCGAACGGAGAGGCCCUGCUUGCAGGGUACUCGAGUGGCGAACGGGUGAGUAACACGUGGGUGAUCUGCCCUGCACGUCGGGAUAAGCCUGGGAAACUGGGUCUAAUACCGGAUAGGAGCCAUUUUUAGUGUGAUGGUUGGAAAGUUUUUUCGGUGUAGGAUGAGCUCGCGGCCUAUCAGCUUGUUGGUGGGGUAAUGGCCUACCAAGGCGGCGACGGGUAGCCGGCCUGAGAGGGUGGACGGCCACAUUGGGACUGAGAGACGGCCCAGACUCCUACGGGAGGCAGCAGUGGGGAAUAUUGCACAAUGGGCGCAAGCCUGAUGCAGCGACGCCGCGUGGGGGAUGACGGCCUUCGGGUUGUAAACUCCUUUCGCUAGGGACGAAGCUUUUUGUGACGGUACCUAGAUAAGAAGCACCGGCUAACUACGUG
RNAcentral lists this ribosomal RNA (465 nucleotides) under uncultured bacterium. Its description in RNAcentral is "partial 16S ribosomal RNA". It matches the Rfam family "Bacterial small subunit ribosomal RNA", at positions 28 to 507 of the family's 1533-position model. The record is from RNAcentral.